GUGAGAGAUGGGUCAGAGUAAAAAAAAAAAGCUUCAAAAUGGUACCAUUUUGGCGGUCUAAGAUAAUUUUGGGGAGUGUUCAGUGGUUUUUUGGCAUCAAAGUUUUAUUAAUGUUUUUUGUCAACUUGCCUAAAAACCUCAAAUUAGCUGUGUUUUCUAGGCAUUGCCUAGAGUGUGAACAAAUCAGUGCACAGGUUUGUUUGACAUGUUGGUGACAUUUUAAGGAGUAGCAAUAUUUGAGGAAUAACACCUUCGCAGUUGUCAUCCUGCCCUCUGCCCAACCUCACAAUCUGACAAUGGAAAAGAUUUGUCUGUUUCAAGUAUAAUUGCCACUGAGGACGGGUUUUUUUUAGGACCAUUUGAUUAGUAUAUUUGUUUUUAGACAUGAACUAGUGUAUUUUGAAGAAUAAAAUACUAAAAGUGGUAUAGACAGUCACACACACCCCUACUCCCACAACCACACGCAACCCCAGAAGUGAAAAGUUGAGGCUGCAAAAGGUACUAAGUCACCUUGCUGCUAAUGUAGUUGAGAGCACAGCUAGAAUGAGUUUGUUCUUAACCCUGAAACUUGACUCUGGUGUUUAAAAUUGUGAGUGGAUACUUUGACGCCAAAUUGUAGAAAUGAAAACCCAGAAUUCCCUUCGCUGAAGAGGCUGAACUUGGGGAAUUGGCAAAAUGCCUGAAGGCAUAAUGGAGUUAACCCACGAAGCACUAGAUAUUUGAAAGAGCCCUUAUGUAUAAGUUUGGGGAAAUCUUUGAGGUGGCAGCAAGGAUUAGGAUCUACAAUAUGUCGUAGGCAACAGCAUUAAAAGGGAACCUACUGCUUUAAUUGGAACUUAGAAGCACUGGGCUGAACCUUUUCUAUCCUUAACAAUGGCAUUCUUAAGGAAUGUCAGCUAAAAGUAUUAAACCAAAUGUCACAUCUACAUCCUAAGAAUAGAAAUGUAAAAUAUUGAUACAUUGAAGCAUAAAACAACAAAAGUACAAAGUUCUUCAAAAUGCCUCUUGAGAUUGUCUCCUCCAAAUGCCAUACUGGCAUUCUUGCCUGUGCUAAAGUACUGAGUCCACCGAGUAGUUUCUCAGCCUGGCCAUCCUGUAAAUUGUGCAAAUUCUGAUGUAAAACAGUUACCAUGUCACUCCAGGAGCAGGAAUUAAUGUACUUUACCCCUUAGCGGUCGUUUUCCCUUUCACUGGUUAAUCUGGUAAGAACUUCUUUGACCAUGUUUUAUUUUUCUGCACAGUGUUUCUCGUGAAGGCUUUGUAUUUUUCUCCGUCAGCUGCUGUUGUCAGUUUCAACUCCGCAACCCUGUGCACGACAGAACCAAACACUGCCCGCUCCUGUGUGUAUGAGCUCGUGGUCGAGCCACUGUGUCAGUCAUCUGGACAGUCUUCCUCUUUUAACCCAGUGGAACUUUUGCAAUGAUGUUUUGUGGUACACUUCCUUCAGAUCGGAUCUUGAAGAAUCUAGCAUUGUUUCCUAGAGACUAGUUUUUUUCACUGCUUCCUUCUGGGUCUUUUUGCAUCAUUUUUUAAAAGCCAAUGGAAGGGAGAAGAGUACUGAUUCAGAGAGCUUAUAAAAGCUACAUGUAUUAAUAUGCUAACUUUGGAGACUUACAAGGAAGAAUAGGAGCCUUCUUCCUGAACUCUGGACUAUCCCCAAAUCUAUUCAGAAGAACCUGGAGCAAGAUGUUGCUUAUUGGAGCUUGGAUGAGGAAACAGGCCCCGAAGGGCUAAGUAACAGGUCAUAUAACCUGUGAGGGAAAAGAAGAGAGUGGGUGUCGGUGAAGAGUCUGGCAGGAGGAACCUGAACAAGAUACUGAAGCAGCAGGCUGAAGGUCCCCUGUAUUGUCUGCUUCUGCUACUGAUCUACCUGCAGAACUUCUCAUUCAUCCCUGUGGCCUCUGGGCAAUAGCCAAGGGGGAACUCCUCUGAGGGAACCAGACCAGCAUUUUCCAGCCCGUCAUUUUGGGUGACGGAAGGAAGAAGGGGGUGCGAUACAUGUGUGGUGGAUGGAAUGGAAACAUGGACUGUCAAAUUGGUAUACCUCAUGAAUUUCUAUUACCAAUAUAAUUCUUCAGCCAUUUUUAUGGUGUGUGUAUGGGGAAGCUAGAGAUUGUGUCCCUGGAUUGGAGGGGUUAUGAAAAAUGCUGAAGUCUUGAAAAUGUGGCCAUUCAAGAACUUUUGCCUUAAAUGGGUUUAUAAAAAUAUCACUGAUACAACCUGCCUCAUUUCCCAUCAUGGGAGAUCUCUUGAACCAGAGACACUUGUUUAAAAUAACAGCCUGUCUCCGAUAAUCCCUGUAGCUACCUUAAUGUGGGGAAAGGAUAGAAAAUGUCCAGGACAUCGUCAUACAGCUCAUCUACAAAGUUCCAGGAGCACUGACGCCCACAGAAGACUUGGAACUGCAAACAGACAGGAUCACCUCUGGGACAUCUCCUGACUCUUCCCAAUCAAGAGUUUGACUUUUGUUUUACGGGUGAAGAAGGCUGUACUAAAAGACCAAAAUAAUUUGUACUUUCAUUUGUU
Long non-coding RNA from Echinops telfairi (small Madagascar hedgehog), 2526 nucleotides. RefSeq lists it as uncharacterized. The record is from RefSeq and is a predicted model, not a curated record. The transcript is spliced from 4 exons. Lineage: Eukaryota; Metazoa; Chordata; Mammalia; Afrosoricida; Tenrecidae.